Molecule: long non-coding RNA, 2588 nt
Filed under: Brassica napus (rape)
Lineage: Eukaryota; Viridiplantae; Streptophyta; Magnoliopsida; Brassicales; Brassicaceae
Description: long non-coding RNA (BNAP_LNC013641)
Source: RNAcentral
AAGUUCUGUGUCUGAAUAUCGAUCUCAAAGUAAAACAGGAUCUAUAGUUCUAGAUUUGUCGGAAAAUUUCAAAAUCGAACACUUUUUGUCCGGAUCAAGCUUCUUCGAUCUCCCCCUUCCGGUUUUCAAAGAAAAUCAAACUAGAUUAUAGUCGAUGAAACAGCUCAUAGUUAUGGAAUCGUUUCACCUCAACAUCGAAAACCCUAAUUACAUCUGCGUUUUGAUUUGAUUCAUCCAGAAGCAAUGGCGAGCUUGAGAGAACCGCCGAACGAGCAAGCCAUCCUCAACAUCUACGAGUCCAUGAGAUCAGAGCUGAGCCAAAUCUACUCCAACAUAACCGACCUCGAGAUGCAAGUCAGCGAGCACUCCCUCGUCGUCAACGCCAUCCAGCCUCUCGACCAGUCAUUUCUUAUAAAGUCUAUGUUUUGUUUUUUAUUAACGUUGGUUACUAUACAGGGGAAGAAGCCUGAAGCGUUUUACUUAGUGAAAGACCCUGAGGUACGCGAGUUUGUUGAGAAGUGUUUAGCUACUGUGACGUCUAGACUCACUGCUUUGGAGCUGUUACAAGACCCUUUCUUACAAGAUGAUGUGGAUGAGUUCGACAUGAGACCUAUUGAUUACUACAAUGGUUAUGAUGAGUUCCUUAGACAGCCUCUCAUCGACCCUCCUCUUUACCAUGAUGAGUCACAGAUAUGUGAGAUCGAUCUUUUCGCGCAAGACGAUGAGGAAGACUCCGACCAUGUUGACAUUUCUAUUAAAGGGAAGAGAAACGGUAGUGAUGGGAUCUUCUUGAGGCUAAGAAUCUCUGAUGCGGAAGGUAUUACACGUUCGAUGUUACAGAUAGUUCUAACGUGUAAGGUCAUGAAAGGGUUUGAACUUUAUGUUGUUACAGGAAGGAUAAGGAACAUAUACUUCCCGUUUGAGACAGAGACUGACACUGCAUGGAGUGUAGCAGCAGAGAUGGUGUCUGAACUCGACAUAACGAAUCAAGAUGUUGCGAAAAUCGCGGAGAUGAUCGAUGCGGAGAUAGCUGCAUUGGUUCCUGAUUGGAAAGUCAAUAACAACGUGAGCAACAGCAACAAAGAAGAAGAGAAAUCUCACCAUUACCAUCAUCAGUUCGAGUGUUCUGACGACAGAAGCUGUUCUUCGGUUCACGGAAGGUUCGAGGAAAUAAGUUACCAAGCGGAAGGACAAGAACAAGGAAGUGGUGAUGUUGUUGUUGUUGUCUCUGGAGAAGGUAAUAACAACAGGAUUCAUUACGCGGAUAUUUGGGGUCUGAGAGAUUCACGUUCGGAUGGUGGAGAAGAAGAAGAGAGCUCGUUGAAGCCAAGGAGAAAGGUGGAAGGGGAGUGGUGGCCGGAGAAUGAGAUAAGGAGAGAGUUGAGAUGGCUUAAGGCAAGGCAUAAGAGGGUUAGAGAUCAUCAAACCAUCUGUGAGAAACCAACUUCAGCUUCGCCCCCUCUUCUUUAUAGGGCGUUCUCACUUCCCGUCGACGCCGUGGAUAUAUGAGAUUGUAAUAAAUUCUAGUUACUAUAUUUUAAAUUUUCUUUUUUUCUUUCACUUUUAAAUUUUGUUAUUAAUCUUUGGUUAAAUAUCCUUCAAACAUUACCUGAACUGGAGUCAGAUCACGAGUCUCUUGUUAUUAUUAAUCUUCGUUAAUAUCCUUCAAAAGUCAAAACAUUGUCAAUCUGGGUUAAAUGUGUGGUUUGGGGAAAAUCCGGUUCGAUAAUCAUAUUAUAUAAAACCGGUUCACUGAUUGUCCUAAAACCGGAUCAAUUUUUUUGUUUUGAACAAUAAAAACCGGAUCAAUGUUAUGCUGUUAAACCCAACCUUGUCUUGUUCUUCCUCUCACUCUCUGCGCCGCGGUUCGUCUUAGAUCUUUUCCUCCCCCAAGCAAAAGCUUCUUCGAUCUUCCUCGUGUCUCUAAAAAAGUAAGUUUCCUGUUUUUUUUUUUUAAUUCUCUAUCUAGUGCCGACAAGUUCUGUGUCUGAAUAUCGAUCUCAAAGUAAAACAGGAUCUAUAGUUCUAGAUUUGUCGGAAAAUUUCAAAAUCGAACACUUUUUGUCCGGAUCAAGCUUCUUCGAUCUCCCCCUUCCGGUUUUCAAAGAAAAUCAAACUAGAUUAUAGUCGAUGAAACAGCUCAUAGUUAUGGAAUCGUUUCACCUCAACAUCGAAAACCCUAAUUACAUCUGCGUUUUGAUUUGAUUCAUCCAGAAGCAAUGGCGAGCUUGAGAGAACCGCCGAACGAGCAAGCCAUCCUCAACAUCUACGAGUCCAUGAGAUCAGAGCUGAGCCAAAUCUACUCCAACAUAACCGACCUCGAGAUGCAAGUCAGCGAGCACUCCCUCGUCGUCAACGCCAUCCAGCCUCUCGACCAGUCAAGAAAAUGCUUCCGCAUGAUCGGAGGCGUUCUGGUCGAGAGAACCAUCAAAGAGGUGCUCCCAGCUGUUCACCGCAACAAGGAAGGGCUAGAAGAGGUCGUCAGGAAGCUGUACGAGACGUUGGAGAAGAAGAAGAAGGAUAUGACGGAGUUUGAAGGUAAGUAUAAGAUCAGGCUAAGGAAACAGGACGAGUCCAAGGAAGAAGGU